Long non-coding RNA from Ornithorhynchus anatinus (platypus), 2946 nucleotides. RefSeq lists it as uncharacterized. The record is from RefSeq and is a predicted model, not a curated record. The transcript is spliced from 2 exons. NCBI's taxonomy places the organism in Eukaryota, Metazoa, Chordata, Mammalia, Monotremata, Ornithorhynchidae.
CCGCUGGGAGCCCGUCUCUACCGCUUGGCCUGACUACCAUCGUUCCUCACACCCCCGCCCGCGCCUCCGCCCCCUCCCAGGGCUCGAUUCCAGAGGGCACUAGAAGCCCCCCGAGCGGGAUCUUCUACGUGAAAGAGAGCACCCGCCGUCCAGAGUUUUAGGAGAAAUCCACGCCAAAAUCAAGUGCCUACGGGCAGGAAGUUCCUCGGACGUUUCACCUAGCCGGCUCUCCGGCCGUUCUUCCAGGAAUUCACGGACAAUAGAUCUCGCCACAGGAUGUUGAGUCAUUUCUUUUUUUUUUUUUUAAAAACUCUGGGUUGGGGCAAGGAUCGUUCCGUUCCCUGCCGCCCCGGGACGGCCGACCCCCCCCGAGCCUCCACGGCCCGACCCCGCGCUCGCCACGGGGCCGGAGAGACGGAACCGGGACGAGCAGCGGGUCGCACCGCUCGCUCUCUCGACGGUAAGCUCGUCGGGGGCAGGGACGCUGUCGGUGACCUCCGUUGUAAUACUGUACUCUCCCGAGCGCUCGGCCCGGGGCUCCGUACCCAGGAGGCGCUCAAUACGUACCGCUGAUUGAGUUCUCUGCUUGGCCGCGAGUGGGAAUUUUAGGCCCGCGGUGCAGAGAGUUUGGAAAACCGAGCAGUAGGUUUGGAGGAGUUACAGCAGAUCCCAUCGGUUCCGGAGCUUUAGCGAUCAGUCGGCCGAUCGCAUUUAUCCAGUGCUUACCGCGUACGGGGCACCGGACCCGAGUGCACGGGGAGCACAACACGCCGAUAUGACAGACACGUCCCCCGCCCGCGACGACCUUACGGUCCAGAGGACGAGCUGCCGGUCUAGAGGGAGACCGUCACUGAAAUAACCCGUUGGCACGCAACGUUCCCGUACUAGGCCCACAACCAACUUCCACAAUCAGCGGCAUUCCGGGACACUUCAAGAACGAAGAUCCCGUGACCUUCAGAACCAACCCGUCCUCCAGAAAAUAAAUCUUCUCCCGGUCACUUGAAUCAAAUGCCGGGAAAAUGCCCCCGCGAGAUCUCCCGGCAACCCCGAUUCCGGUCCGGGGGCGGCCCCGCCGGGUCUCCCGGUAACGCCUCCGCGGAGCCCGGCGGGCAGACGGGCACCGGUCCCCGUGGGCACCGAAGCCUCCGGGAGGAGAGUCGGGAAACCGGCCCGGGGAGGUUGAGGCGGUGGUGGGGGAGAGAGAGCCGGGCGGAGCGAGGCCUCGGGCCUCCCUGCUGCCGGGCGGUUCCCUCGGAAAGGCAGGUCCUCGGAGACCUGCCCUCGGUGACCUCCGACGGACCAGUGCGGGGCGACCGGCCCCGGAGCCCACAGAACCUUCCCCAGAAACGGCCCCGAGGGGCCCGCUGGCCCUCGGGGACUUUUUCCAAGACGACGGCGAGACACCAGGCUCUUCCCGGCGGGAAGGGAGAAGGAAAGAGGAGAAACGUGAGUACCCCCUGGCUGAAAGACCGUGACAGAUCUCUUGGAGCCACCGGACUCACAAAGGUGAAUGCAAAAAGGGGAAGGCACAUUUAUACGUUUUUAAGACUUUCGUAAUCGGCGCCUUUAUCGGAGGCGCAUAUUUCUACAUCUGCUUCGGACAGUCCGUGUUUCCGCUCGGCGGCCAUCUCCCAACGAGGUCGGUGACGACGCUUAGCGGGAAUCAAUCCCCCCGAAGGCACCCGGGGCCUCGAGGAGCUUUUUGGGCACCCUCAAAAAGAGGAGAGCGGGUCUCGGCCGAAACACCCGCGAGCCCUCGUGUCUUUCCGACGGCGCUCCGAGAGUUCAGACGUCCAUCGCCUCCGAAAAAACCUCCUCCGCCUAACGUCUCGUUUCCCCAGCCGAUUCGCCCGCCCUCCUGAGUCGCCGGGGCACGGGGGUGGGCACCCCUCGUGCGCCUGGCCUCUCAACCCACAGGACGCACGUCCACAUCCUUAGAUUCUGGUGCUUCUCCUCGCUGUGAUUUACUUCGAUGCCCGAUCUUCCCCCCUCCGAGACCCUAAGCUCCUCGAGGGCAGGGAUCGUGUCUGCCGAAGUGGGGAUUCGGCCUAUCCUCCCUCCGCUUUCGACCGUGAGCCCCACGGGGGACGGAGAUGCCGUCCGGCUUGAUCGACUUCUAGCUGCCCCGGCAUCUGGAACAGAGCUCGACACACAGUGAGAGCCUUAACGAACCCCGUGCCGAUUAAAAUAUGGGUGUGUACUCUCCUAAGCUCUCGGUCCAGUGCUCUACGCAGAGUGAACGCUCAAUAAAUACCACCGGUGGAUUGCUCUAAGCCCCAGAGCGGCCCUUUGCGACUGGUUCUGAACGGGAUCCCCUUCUGGUUGGGGCCACAGGCGGCUGCGCGCUGGCCACCCCGAGGAGGCCGAUCGAUCGGGGGGCCUAGCCCGGCCCCUGGCCGGGCCCGGGGGCUUCGGCCGGCCUGCAGACCCUCGGGUACUGCCCUGGGGCUGGUGCCGGGGAAACAGUGAAAGACAUUCUCCGCUGAGAUCAAACGAUCCCUCCAAGCUUCCCGCCUCCUCAGCCUGAGGGAUGGCUAGUUCCCACCUGGGAUUCUCUCCCGGAGCUCAGCAGGGCGGUCCGCUCAGAGUAAGCGCUUCACACCUCUUCCGCUACCACUGACAACUGCUCCUAUGAUACCUCCGAUCAGUCCCGGCAAGACCGGAAGCAGCGCGGCCUAGAAGAAAAGCUCGGACCCGGGAGUCAGAGGCCCCGGCUUCUGACGCCGGCUCCGCCGCUCGCCCGUCGGGUGAUCUUGGGCGAGUCGUGACAUCUCACGGCUGCGGUCUCCCCAUCCGUUUAACGGGGAUUCAAUACCGGUUCUCCCUCCCCCCGAGGACGUGAGCCCCACGUGGGACGGCGCCUGUUUCCAACCCUCGGAUCUUGUAUCUUAGUUCGGCGCUCGGCGUGCAGAAAGCAUUUCGCAAAUACCACGAUGAUUAUUAUUA